AUGAGUCGUCAUAAUGGCAUCAACAUCCCCGAUGGCAAGUUCUAAUUAGGAGAUGCUAGCUAUGCAUGCCGGCCAAGUGUUCUUCCAUCCUUCAGGAAAACCAGGUAUCAUCUGAACGAGUUCUCUGGUAGGAACUAUCUUAGGACUCCUCGGGAACUAUUCAAUCUCAGACACUCCAUCCUUAGAGUAACGGUUGAGUGGGCAUUUGAAGCUCUGAAGAAUAUGUUUGAGAUCCUGGAUCAAAAGCCAUUCCACCCUUACCCUACUCAGGUCAAGCUUGUUCUUGCAUGUUGCAUCAUUCACAACCGGAUCCUGCAAUGGGGAACUGAUAAACUUUUGUCGGAGGAGGAAGAUGUGACUCCUGAUGAGGUGAUCAGCUCUGUCCAUGGCGUGGAGGCUUUUGAGAACAAAGAAUGGAAGAACAAAAGGUUGAAUUGGGCUCAGACAAUGUGGGAUAACAGAGGUUAG
Molecule: ribosomal RNA, 468 nt
Filed under: Triticum aestivum (bread wheat)
Lineage: Eukaryota; Viridiplantae; Streptophyta; Magnoliopsida; Poales; Poaceae
Description: partial small subunit ribosomal RNA
Source: RNAcentral